This 301-nucleotide ribosomal RNA is filed under the name uncultured bacterium. RNAcentral describes it as "partial 16S ribosomal RNA". It matches the Rfam family "Bacterial small subunit ribosomal RNA", at positions 509 to 809 of the family's 1533-position model. The record is from RNAcentral.
CAGCCGCCGCGGUAAUACAGAGGGUGCAAGCGUUAAUCGGAAUUACUGGGCGUAAAGCGCGCGUAGGUGGUUUGUUAAGUUGGAUGUGAAAUCCCCGGGCUCAACCUGGGAACUGCAUCCAAAACUGGCAAGCUAGAGUAUGGUAGAGGGUGGUGGAAUUUCCUGUGUAGCGGUGAAAUGCGUAGAUAUAGGAAGGAACACCAGUGGCGAAGGCGACCACCUGGACUGAUACUGACACUGAAGUGCGAAAGCGUGGGGAGCAAACAGGAUUAGAUACCCCAGUAGUCCCUGUCUCUUAUAU